This is a non-coding RNA of Pelobates cultripes (western spadefoot toad), 495 nucleotides long. NCBI's taxonomy places the organism in Eukaryota, Metazoa, Chordata, Amphibia, Anura, Pelobatidae. The record is from the annotation of a GenBank genome assembly.
GAGGAGGAGGCGGUGGCUGGAGGAAGGGGAGAGUCAGAAUAAUCACAGAGAGGUAGAGAACAAGUCUGUGAAAGAUCCUGGGAGAGAGAGAGAGAGAGAGAGAGAGAGGGAGAGAGAGACAGACUGGGUGUGCAUGUGUGCUUGUGGGCAGAUGCUAUAGACCUUCCUGCUUUCGCUAACCCCUGUACAUGUGUGUGACGGUGUGUGCAUGAGAGAGCGAGAGGGAGAGAGGACAGAAAGACGAAGAGAGGGGGGAAACACAGAGAGUGAGAGAAGGAAGAAAAGAAGGAGAAAAAAGGAGGAGAGCGAAAAGACAAAACCCAACCAUGCUGUGCUGUAUGAGAAGAACUAAGCAGGUAAUGUUCCCAUUUUCAUGGCAGGGUCUGUGGCUGGAGCUAUGGUGGAAGCUGACAGAUGCUUCCAUGACAUGAGAUGUGUAAAGGGCCAAUUCCCUUUGUGUUAUAUGCAUUGUGUAAGUGGGGAUAAUGGACUUAU